Molecule: ribosomal RNA, 2908 nt
Filed under: Klebsiella michiganensis
Lineage: Bacteria; Pseudomonadati; Pseudomonadota; Gammaproteobacteria; Enterobacterales; Enterobacteriaceae
Description: 23S ribosomal RNA
Rfam family: Bacterial large subunit ribosomal RNA
Source: RNAcentral
GGUUAAGCGACUAAGCGUACACGGUGGAUGCCCUGGCAGUCAGAGGCGAUGAAGGACGUGCUAAUCUGCGAAAAGCGUCGGUAAGGUGAUAUGAACCGUUACAGCCGGCGAUGUCCGAAUGGGGAAACCCAGUGCAAUUCGUUGCACUAUCGUUAACUGAAUACAUAGGUUAACGAGGCGAACCGGGGGAACUGAAACAUCUAAGUACCCCGAGGAAAAGAAAUCAACCGAGAUUCCCCCAGUAGCGGCGAGCGAACGGGGAGCAGCCCGGAGUCUGAAUCAGCUUGUGUGUUAGUGGAAGCGUCUGGAAAGUCGCAGGGUACAGGGUGAUACUCCCGUACACUAAAGCACACAGGUUGUGAACUCGAAGAGUAGGGCGGGACACGUGGUAUCCUGUCUGAAUAUGGGGGGACCAUCCUCCAAGGCUAAAUACUCCUGACUGACCGAUAGUGAACCAGUACCGUGAGGGAAAGGCGAAAAGAACCCCGGCGAGGGGAGUGAAAAAGAACCUGAAACCGUGUACGUACAAGCAGUAGGAGCCCACUAGUUGGGUGACUGCGUACCUUUUGUAUAAUGGGUCAGCGACUUAUAUUCUGUAGCAAGGUUAACCGUAUAGGGGAGCCGCAGGGAAACCGAGUCUUAACUGGGCGUUAAGUUGCAGGGUAUAGACCCGAAACCCGGUGAUCUAGCCAUGGGCAGGUUGAAGGUUGGGUAACACUAACUGGAGGACCGAACCGACUAAUGUUGAAAAAUUAGCGGAUGACUUGUGGCUGGGGGUGAAAGGCCAAUCAAACCGGGAGAUAGCUGGUUCUCCCCGAAAGCUAUUUAGGUAGCGCCUCGUGAAUUCAUCUUCGGGGGUAGAGCACUGUUUCGGCUAGGGGGUCAUCCCGACUUACCAACCCGAUGCAAACUACGAAUACCGAAGAAUGUUAUCACGGGAGACACACGGCGGGUGCUAACGUCCGUCGUGAAGAGGGAAACAACCCAGACCGCCAGCUAAGGUCCCAAAGUCAUGGUUAAGUGGGAAACGAUGUGGGAAGGCCCAGACAGCCAGGAUGUUGGCUUAGAAGCAGCCAUCAUUUAAAGAAAGCGUAAUAGCUCACUGGUCGAGUCGGCCUGCGCGGAAGAUGUAACGGGGCUAAACCAUGCACCGAAGCUGCGGCAGCGACACUAUGUGUUGUUGGGUAGGGGAGCGUUCUGUAAGCCGUUGAAGGUGGCCUGUGAGGGUUGCUGGAGGUAUCAGAAGUGCGAAUGCUGACAUAAGUAACGAUAAUGCGGGUGAAAAACCCGCACGCCGGAAGACCAAGGGUUCCUGUCCAACGUUAAUCGGGGCAGGGUGAGUCGACCCCUAAGGCGAGGCCGAAAGGCGUAGUCGAUGGGAAACAGGUUAAUAUUCCUGUACUCGGUGUUACUGCGAAGGGGGGACGGAGAAGGCUAUGUUGGUAGGGCGACGGUUGUCCCGGUUUAAGCAUGUAGGCGGAUGUUCCAGGUAAAUCCGGAACGUCACUAACGCUGAGGUGUGAUGACGAGGCACUACGGUGCUGAAGUGACAAAUGCCCUGCUUCCAGGAAAAGCCUCUAAGCAUCAGGUAACAUCAAAUCGUACCCCAAACCGACACAGGUGGUCAGGUAGAGAAUACCAAGGCGCUUGAGAGAACUCGGGUGAAGGAACUAGGCAAAAUGGUGCCGUAACUUCGGGAGAAGGCACGCUGAUGGUAGGUGAAGCGACUUGCUCGUGGAGCUGAAAUCAGUCGAAGAUACCAGCUGGCUGCAACUGUUUAUUAAAAACACAGCACUGUGCAAACACGAAAGUGGACGUAUACGGUGUGACGCCUGCCCGGUGCCGGAAGGUUAAUUGAUGGGGUUAUCCGUAAGGAGAAGCUCUUGAUCGAAGCCCCGGUAAACGGCGGUACGUAACUAUAACGGUCCUAAGGUAGCGAAAUUCCUUGUCGGGUAAGUUCCGACCUGCACGAAUGGCGUAAUGAUGGUACAGGCUGUCUCCACCCGAGACUCAGUGAAAUUGAACUCGCUGUGAAGAUGCAGUGUACCCGCGGCAAGACGGAAAGACCCCGUGAACCUUUACUAUAGCUUGACACUGAACACUGGUCCUUGAUGUGUAGGAUAGGUGGGAGGCUUUGAAGUGUGGACGCCAGUCUGCAUGGAGCCAUCCUUGAAAUACCACCCUUUAAUGGCUGGUGUUCUAACGUGGGCCCCUAAUCGGGGUUGCGGACAGUGUCUGGUGGGUAGUUUGACUGGGGCGGUCUCCUCCUAAAGAGUAACGGAGGAGCACGAAGGUCAGCUAAUCCUGGUCGGACAUCAGGAGGUUAGUGCAAUGGCAUAAGCUGGCUUGACUGCGAGCGUGACGGCGCGAGCAGGUGCGAAAGCAGGUCAUAGUGAUCCGGUGGUUCUGAAUGGAAGGGCCAUCGCUCAACGGAUAAAAGGUACUCCGGGGAUAACAGGCUGAUACCGCCCAAGAGUUCAUAUCGACGGCGGUGUUUGGCACCUCGAUGUCGGCUCAUCACAUCCUGGGGCUGAAGUAGGUCCCAAGGGUAUGGCUGUUCGCCAUUUAAAGUGGUACGCGAGCUGGGUUUAGAACGUCGUGAGACAGUUCGGUCCCUAUCUGCCGUGGGCGCUGGAGAAUUGAGGGGGGCUGCUCCUAGUACGAGAGGACCGGAGUGGACGCAUCACUGGUGUUCGGGUUGUCAUGCCAAUGGCAUUGCCCGGUAGCUAAAUGCGGAAGAGAUAAGUGCUGAAAGCAUCUAAGCACGAAACUUGCCCCGAGAUGAGUUCUCCCUGACCCUUUAAGGGUCCUGAAGGAACGUUGAAGACGACGACGUUGAUAGGCCGGGUGUGUAAGCGCAGCGAUGCGUUGAGCUAACCGGUACUAAUGAACCGUGAGGCUUAACCUU